GCGCCCGUAGCUCAGCCGGAUAGAGCGUUGGCCUCCGGAGCCAAAGGUAAGAGGUUCGAGUCCUCUCGGGCGCGCCA
RNAcentral lists this transfer RNA (77 nucleotides) under Allomeiothermus silvanus. RNAcentral's name for it is "tRNA-Arg". It matches the Rfam family "tRNA". Rfam says of the family: Transfer RNA (tRNA) molecules are approximately 80 nucleotides in length. Their secondary structure includes four short double-helical elements and three loops (D, anti-codon, and T loops). The record is from RNAcentral. Lineage: Bacteria; Thermotogati; Deinococcota; Deinococci; Thermales; Thermaceae.